This 253-nucleotide ribosomal RNA is filed under the name uncultured bacterium. Its description in RNAcentral is "partial 16S ribosomal RNA". It matches the Rfam family "Bacterial small subunit ribosomal RNA", at positions 524 to 776 of the family's 1533-position model. The record is from RNAcentral.
GACGUAGGGCGCGAGCGUUGUCCGGAUUUAUUGGGCGUAAAGAGCUCGUAGGCGGCCAACUAAGUCAGACGUGAAAUCCCUCGGCUUAACCGGGGAACUGCGUCUGAUACUGGAUGGCUUGAAUCCGGGAGAGGGAUGCGGAAUUCCUGGUGUAGCGGCGAAAUGCGCAGAUAUCAGGAAGAACACCCGUGGCUAAGGCGGCUCUCUAGUACGGUACUGACGCUGAGACGCGAAAGCGUGGGGAGCGAACAGG